Molecule: transfer RNA, 72 nt
Filed under: Halogranum tailed virus 1
Lineage: Duplodnaviria; Heunggongvirae; Uroviricota; Caudoviricetes; Thumleimavirales; Halomagnusviridae
Description: Halovirus HGTV-1 tRNA
Rfam family: tRNA
About the family: Transfer RNA (tRNA) molecules are approximately 80 nucleotides in length.
Source: Rfam by way of RNAcentral
GGGCGAUUGGUCUACUGGAUAUGACACAUCCCUGCGAAGGAUGAGAAGGGAGUUCGAUUCUCUCAUUGCCCA